This 423-nucleotide ribosomal RNA is filed under the name uncultured bacterium. Its description in RNAcentral is "bacterial SSU rRNA". It matches the Rfam family "Bacterial small subunit ribosomal RNA", at positions 335 to 749 of the family's 1533-position model. The record is from RNAcentral.
ACUCCUACGGGAGGCAGCAGUGGGGAAUAUUGCACAAUGGGCGCAAGCCUGAUGCAGCCAUGCCGCGUGUGUGAAGAAGGCCUUCGGGUUGUAAAGCACUUUCAGUUGUGAGGAAGGUGGUGUCGUUAAUAGCGGCAUCAUUUGACGUUAGCAACAGAAGAAGCACCGGCUAACUCCGUGCCAGCAGCCGCGGUAAUACGGAGGGUGCGAGCGUUAAUCGGAAUUACUGGGCGUAAAGCGCAUGCAGGUGGUUUGUUAAGUCAGAUGUGAAAGCCCGGGGCUCAACCUCGGAACUGCAUUUGAAACUGGCAGACUAGAGUACUGUAGAGGGGGGUAGAAUUUCAGGUGUAGCGGUGAAAUGCGUAAGAGAUCUGAAGGAAUACCAGUGGCGAAGGCGGCCCCCUGGACAAAGACUGACGCUCA